RNAcentral lists this ribosomal RNA (253 nucleotides) under uncultured bacterium. RNAcentral describes it as "partial 16S ribosomal RNA". It matches the Rfam family "Bacterial small subunit ribosomal RNA", at positions 524 to 776 of the family's 1533-position model. The record is from RNAcentral.
UACGAAGGGGGCUAGCGUUGCUCGGAAUCACUGGGCGUAAAGGGUGCAUAGGCGGGUUAUUAAGUCAGAGGUGAAAUCCUGGAGCUCAACUCCAGAACUGCCUUUGAUACUGAUAGUCUUGAGUAUGGGAGAGGUGAGUGGAACUGCGAGUGUAGAGGUGAAAUUCGUAGAUAUUCGCAAGAACACCAGUGGCGAAGGCGGCUCACUGGCCCAUUACUGACGCUGAGGCACGAAAGCGUGGGGAGCAAACAGG